Acanthosepion pharaonis is the source of this 104-nucleotide non-coding RNA. Lineage: Eukaryota; Metazoa; Mollusca; Cephalopoda; Sepiida; Sepiidae. The record is from the annotation of a GenBank genome assembly.
GCCACAUCACAUUGAAACACCAGUUCCCGUACGAUCACCGAAAUUAAGCAACAUUGAGCCUAGUCAUUAGACAGAUGGGUGACUGCUUGGGAAAAACAGGUGCU